AAAGAAUCUCGUGUUCUUCUCUUUGGGUGCGAAUCGUUUGUCUGGUUCCAUCCCUCUCUCAAUCCACAAUCUUUCCUCUGUAGAAAUUUUUAAUGUGGCAGCAAACCGCAUCCAAGGGAGGCUUCCUGCCAACUUGGGUACCUCUCUUCCAAAUCUCAAACAGUUUGUAAUAGCCAAAAAUGAUAUUACUGGAUCGAUUCCUGCUUCAUUUUCCAAUG
RNAcentral lists this unclassified non-coding RNA (218 nucleotides) under Hevea brasiliensis (rubber tree). Lineage: Eukaryota; Viridiplantae; Streptophyta; Magnoliopsida; Malpighiales; Euphorbiaceae. The record is from RNAcentral.